AAGGAACACUGUAACUGACAGAGU
Molecule: non-coding RNA, 24 nt
Filed under: Cricetulus griseus (Chinese hamster)
Lineage: Eukaryota; Metazoa; Chordata; Mammalia; Rodentia; Cricetidae
Source: RNAcentral